GACCCGUCUUGAAACACGGACCAAGGAGUCUAACCUGUGCGCGAGCCAUUGAGAUAAUAAAAACUCAAAGGCAAAGUGAAAGCAAAAAUGGUGAGAUCUGUCGUUUAUUUGAUAAAAAUAACACGGCGGCGCAUCAUCGUCACGCCUUAAUUUGGCUUCGGCUAAAGAGGCGCAGACUGAGCGCACAAGUUGGGACCCGAAAGAUGGUGAACUAUGCGAGGCGAGGUCGAAGCCAGAGGAAACUCUGGUGGAGGACUGUAGCGGUUCUAACGUGCAAAUUGAUCGUCGCAGCUUCGUAUAGGGGCGAAAGACUAAUCRAACCAUCUAGUAGCUGGUUCCUUCCGA
RNAcentral lists this ribosomal RNA (345 nucleotides) under uncultured Gastrotricha. Its description in RNAcentral is "LSU rRNA". It matches the Rfam family "Eukaryotic large subunit ribosomal RNA", at positions 646 to 964 of the family's 3401-position model. Lineage: Eukaryota; Metazoa; Gastrotricha. The record is from RNAcentral.